This 525-nucleotide long non-coding RNA is filed under the name Fukomys damarensis (Damara mole-rat). RNAcentral's name for it is "lncRNA (ENSFDAG00000024035.1)". The record is from RNAcentral. Lineage: Eukaryota; Metazoa; Chordata; Mammalia; Rodentia; Bathyergidae.
CUGUACCUGCACUGAGCUGUCUGCUCACGGAGCCUGCUCCAUCUUCCCAACCCUGCCAGGCACUGUCCCCGCAUAAGGACACACGGGCCCAGGCUCAGUGACGGGUGAGCCCUGGAUCUCAUCAGGCUAAGGCUGUGGUCACGCGAUGAGGAUCCCUCCCUCUCUAUUGUCCAAAGCCCCAGACCUGUCUGAAGCAUUCCCAGGGGCUUGAGGUCACGGGGCUCUGGCCCUUGUCUGUGACUGACCAGUAGGCAUAAAUGCUGAGACCUCAACGGUCCUGUGAUGCUGUGACUCUCAAGGACAAGAUUACAUCUGCUGAAGACACCCUGGUUCCCUGAGAACUGAAUAGUCCUUAUCAGCAUAAGAUCCUCAGGGUCAUUGGAUUACUGUCACUCUCCCAGGCAUCUGAUACGUCCUCUGAUUAUAAGAUCCUUGCCAAUUUAGGAUUAUCAUCCCCCUUACGUCAUCUGUUACUCCCCAUUAACCCAAUAAAUAGUGGCAAGCUCAGAGCGCCUUGAUCAGGCC